This 253-nucleotide ribosomal RNA is filed under the name uncultured bacterium. RNAcentral's name for it is "partial 16S ribosomal RNA". It matches the Rfam family "Bacterial small subunit ribosomal RNA", at positions 524 to 776 of the family's 1533-position model. The record is from RNAcentral.
UACAGAGGUCUCCGGCCUUGUUCGGAUUCAUUGGGCGUAAAGGGUGCGUAGGUGGUUGGGUAAGUCAAAUGUGAAAUCCCGGAGCUCAACUCCGGAACUGCAUUCGAUACUGCCUGGCUCGAGGAUUGGAGAGGAGACUGGAAUUCACGGUGUAGCAGUGAAAUGCGUAGAGAUCGUGAGGAACUCCCGUGGCGUAGGCGGGUCUCUGGACAAUUCCUGACACUGAGCCACGAAGGCCAGGGGAGCAAACGGG